CUUUAGACAGAAAGGCCUCCAAACUAGAGGGCUGCGGCAACAGAGACAAUAAACCAGAGUCGCCUCCACCCUGACCCACCACCCCCAUGUGAGCCACCUCGCCCGUUUUACUUGGGGACUUUAGGGAAUUCCUAUCUUGAGGGGAGAGUCGUUACAAACUUAGCCAGCUUGACUCAUCGGCCUCCUUAAGAAGGGACCUCCAGGCUCCUUGCGGAGGGCUGAUGCCUGCCGGCAGUUCUGAGCGUGGGAUUCUGGGAUUCGGGGGAUAAUCGCAGCGCUGGGGUUACAGGACGUGAGCUGGAGGACCUUACAACUCCCCGCAGCCCUGAUGUCUCCCUUGUAUACUGGUUUAGGAAGAGGGACCACUGAACUCCUGGCCCCAGCACUAUCGUCCUGCAAUCACUCCCGCUACUCAGAACACAGGUGCUCUGUGCCUUUAGCUCAGCCUUCCUCUCCAUCCUGUGGCCUGUCAUCGUCCACGGUGGCUUCAACCUUCUUCCCAAUUUCCACCCUCAGGGGUGCUUCCACCCCGACUCUGGCCGCAUCCCAGAACACGAGAUCUGUGUUGAAGCAUAGAUUUUGAGAAGCUGGAAACAUGAUUCUCACACACAGGGUCUCCCUUGCAGCCAGGACACCCUUCACAAGGACACCAGAGGGGAACAUUAAAGGAAGAGAGAAAGAACUGAAAAAGAUGGUUCCUGCAAGUCUAUCCUUUCACCCUGGCGCUUUUACAUGCAGAAGGUGACUGCCAUCCCAAUUCAGGUCACCCUCCCCCUUUCAAGAGAAGACUGUGUAUUAUGAUCACUGAUUCCCCCAUGCAAAGUUCAGUCAUCAUUAUGUGAAAACCAGUCAACAGCAGCUUGCUAAGCCCCAUUCACAUGCCAGAUGACACUGGCCUAUGUGCUUUACAUUAAAAAAAAAAAUUCCAGCUUUAUUGAGGUAUAAUUGACAAUAAAUUGUAAGACAGGUUAAGACAUGGUAUGAUCUGAUGUAUGUAUACAUUGUGAAAGAGCUCCACCGUCUGGUUAUAAUUAUCAUAUCCAUCACUUCACAGAUUUAUCUUUGUG
Long non-coding RNA from Felis catus (domestic cat), 1067 nucleotides. RefSeq lists it as uncharacterized. Lineage: Eukaryota; Metazoa; Chordata; Mammalia; Carnivora; Felidae. The record is from RefSeq and is a predicted model, not a curated record. The transcript has 4 exons.